UGUUCUGACACACUGAAGCUAUGCCUUACC
RNAcentral lists this non-coding RNA (30 nucleotides) under Macaca fascicularis (crab-eating macaque). Lineage: Eukaryota; Metazoa; Chordata; Mammalia; Primates; Cercopithecidae. RNAcentral also lists the same sequence under 1 other name. The record is from RNAcentral.